Molecule: transfer RNA, 67 nt
Filed under: Oedipina poelzi (quarry worm salamander)
Lineage: Eukaryota; Metazoa; Chordata; Amphibia; Caudata; Plethodontidae
Description: tRNA-Glu
Source: RNAcentral
UUUCUCAUAGUUGAAUACAACGAUGAUUUUUCAGAUCAUUGGUCUUAGUUAAGUCUAAGUGGGAAUU